GAUAUGAACCGUUAUAACCGGCGAUACCCGAAUGGGGAAACCCAGUGUGUUUCGACACACUAUCAUGUCAUGAAUACAUAGUGGCAUGAGGCGAACCGGGGGAACUGAAACAUCUAAGUACCCCGAGGAAAAGAAAUCAACCGAGAUUCCCCCAGUAGCGGCGAGCGAACGGGGAGGAGCCCAGAACCUGAAUCGGCUUGUGUGUUAGUGGAAGCGUCUGGAAAGUCGCGCAGCAAAGGGUGAUAGCCCCGUACACUAAAAUGCACAGGUCGUGAGUUCGAUGAGUAGGGCGGGACACGUGACAUCCUGUCUGAAUAUGGGGGGACCAUCCUCCAAGGCUAAAUACUCCUGACUGACCGAUAGUGAACCAGUACCGUGAGGGAAAGGCGAAAAGAACCCCGGCGAGGGGAGUGAAAUAGAACCUGAAACCGUGUACGUACAAGCAGUGGGAGCACCUUCGUGGUGUGACUGCGUACCUUUUGUAUAAUGGGUCAGCGACUUAUAUUUUGUAGCAAGGUUAACCGUAUAGGGGAGCCGUAGGGA
This 543-nucleotide ribosomal RNA is filed under the name Serratia marcescens. RNAcentral describes it as "partial 23S ribosomal RNA". It matches the Rfam family "Bacterial large subunit ribosomal RNA", at positions 87 to 674 of the family's 2925-position model. The record is from RNAcentral. Lineage: Bacteria; Pseudomonadati; Pseudomonadota; Gammaproteobacteria; Enterobacterales; Yersiniaceae.